RNAcentral lists this ribosomal RNA (406 nucleotides) under uncultured bacterium. RNAcentral describes it as "partial 16S ribosomal RNA". It matches the Rfam family "Bacterial small subunit ribosomal RNA", at positions 30 to 526 of the family's 1533-position model. The record is from RNAcentral.
AUUGAACGCUGGCGGCAGGCUUAACACAUGCAAGUCGAGCGAGCGGCGGACGGGUGAGUAAUGUCUGGGAAACUGCCUGAUGUAGGGGGAUAACAACUGGAAACGGUAGCUAAUACCGCAUACCAUCAGAUGUGCCCAUAUGGGAUUAGCUAGUAGGUGGGGUAACGGCUCACCUAGGCGACGAUCCCUAGCUGGUCUGAGAGGAUGACCAGCCACACUGGAACGGAGACACGGUCCAGACUCCUACGGGAGGAAGCAGGGGGGAAUAUUGGACAAUGGGGGAAAGCCUGAUGCAGCCAUGCCGCGUGUGUGAAGAAGGCCUUCGGGUUGUAAAGCACUUUCAGCGGGGAGGCGUUACCCGCAGAAGAAGCACCGGCUAACUCCGUGCCAGCAGCCGCGGUAAUUC